GGCUUGAGCCCCUGACCAGUUCUUCCUUCCAAGACCUAACCCUCAACCCCGACCACGCCGCCGCCGCCGCCGCCACCAACCACUCGACAGCAGCGCCGGCGUCUUCCCCGAACACAGUCGCCGCUGACCGCCUAGUUGUCGCCGAGCACCCUUCUCUACCAAGGAAGCCCUUCGCCGCUUCGUCCCCAUCCCCCGCGCACCCAGCGCCUGCUUCCUCCCGAGGAAUGCCGCCGACCGCCCUCCAUCCCCACCACAACAGCGACCUCCUCCACAGGUUUCCUCCGCCGAGCAGGCCUCCUCCUCCUCAAGCUUUCUCCCCCGAGCAGGGCCUCCUCCUCCACGAGCAUCCUUCCCCGAGCACUAAGUUGGGCCGCCUCCUGGUUCCCUCACCCGAGCAAUGGACCUUCCUGUACGGCCCCUCUCCCGAGAAGCUCCACCUCAUCUACAUCCUCCCCCAGGUGCAGCCCCGCCUCCUUGCUCACCGAGAGCACUUGGCCGGUGAGAUUUCAAUCUUUGCAAACUUCUGUUCCUUUUUUCUUCUGAGCAGUAACUAGAAUGACUUCAGAAAGUGUUUGAGUUUAUAUGACACUACAGUUCUGAAGAUAACGACUAGCUUUGUCAUCCGAUAGCCCAAGUUUUGCUUAUGGUGAAGAGAUCUUCCAUUGCAGCAAAUGGAUGCUUCGACUACAUAUUAAAUCAGUGAAUCCCAGUAGGUGUACUACAUGCAAGCUUCGGCAAAUUAAGUUUCAAGGUCGUGCUGCACAUAUAGCUAGAGAACUUCUUUCUGUCUAUUUUUUCUGCACAUGUAGACUGAAAGUGAAGUAACGCUUCUAGAGUUUAAUAAUUUUAACUAGUGAAUGUGAUAGUUUUAUGAAAAUAGAUAUAUGGGGUCUGAUCUGGAAUUUUCUUCUAUAAUUUUCUAUUGCCAGUUUGCCACUGCUCCCAGUCAUGUGACUCAGGAAUUUAAUUAUCAGUAGUUGUCUAUCAUAGUAGAAAUCCCUUCAAGUGUUGCAACCUUUAUUAUUGAAUUGAAAAACAUUUGCCUGAUAAUUUAAUUUUCUAGAGUAAAAUGAGAGCAAUUGGGUUUUGUACUGUAGCCCCUACUGGAAAUUGCAUGGCAUCAUGACUUAUUGAACUACCAGAUCCCCUGUUCUUAAAACUGUUUUUAUUUAGCUUAACGCUUAAGAACAAAUUCAACCAAAGCUAUGUUCACAGAGAUGGUAAAUAGCUUAAGAUGUGCCUGUGGUUCAGAUUUUAGAAAAGACCUACUCGCAGUGCCACGUGCAAGUAAUAUAACCCUGGUAGUAUUGUUGCUGAUAAUUAGAACGUUUGGAUGCUCGUUGUUUAGGUUCUGCGUGUAGUUUGGUAGUAGUGCUGGUGUGUGUGGCUUAGUUUCUGAUGUUUUGAGGUACCCCUGGAGAGGGACGAACUUGAGACAUGUGAUGUUUUCAGUAAUGGAAAUUGGGAGAUAUGCUCCUAAGUAGAAUUUUUUUGAGAAUUGGGUCAUGGGGCUAGCUGACUACCAUGCUCUUUUCUCCUAUAUGUAAUUCUUACAAACUGUUCCCUAAUUUUCAUUUGAUGCUUUCACUGAAAUAAUAUUUUAGAUUGUUUGUUUUGUGAGCAGUGUGCAUCUUGUUUGUCCUCUCCACCAAGCAGCGUCGACUACUCCAUACAAGCACAUAAGCUUAUGCUCUUAUGAUUAUAUAUUUACCAAUGACUAUUAUGGUUGAUAGCUUAAAAGUCUUUGCUUCUAUAUAUGCAGCUGAGAAUGACUUAUAACUUCAUGGCAAAAGCAGCAACAUGAGUAGGCAACCACAAGCAAGCUGAGGAGUUACAUAUAUGCAUAUCUUAUGCUCAUUUGCCGGGCUUCACCAAAGUUUGGCCGACCUUUUGGUGUCUAUUAUUUGUGUUCCUGGCAAACUUUGCUAUCAAUUCUGUUCCCAUAUCCUCCGGCAUGUGAAAUCCCCCCUCAAGAGGCGAGCCAUUAGUGUUUGAUGUUGGCAUCAUCGUUGGAAUAUCUUCUGUGCUACUCUCUACACGAUGUUUCUUCUACAUGAUAGCACUUGACGUCUACAUGAUAGCACUUGAAGUCUACAUGAUGUUUCUUGUAUUCAUACCUCAAACCAUUUGUUUAGCUUAGUUUGAACAAAAAAUAUUAUUGUCUUACAUGUAAAUAAUGUUUACUAAUGUAGCUGGAUGCUACUGAAUGCAUGUACGAAAGUCAAAAUACUAAAGUGU
Long non-coding RNA from Triticum aestivum (bread wheat), 2238 nucleotides. RefSeq lists it as uncharacterized. The transcript is spliced from 4 exons. The record is from RefSeq and is a predicted model, not a curated record. NCBI's taxonomy places the organism in Eukaryota, Viridiplantae, Streptophyta, Magnoliopsida, Poales, Poaceae.